CCUACGGGCGGCAGCAGUCGAGAAUCAUUCACAAUGGGGGAAACCCUGAUGGUGCGACGCCGCGUGGGGGAAUGAAGGUCUUCGGAUUGUAAACCCCUGUCAUGUGGGAGCAAAUUAAGAAGAUAGUACCACAAGAGGAAGAGACGGCUAACUCUGUGCCAGCAGCCGCGGUAAUACAGAGGUCUCAAGCGUUGUUCGGAAUCACUGGGCGUAAAGCGUGCGUAGGCUGUUUCGUAAGUCGUGUGUGAAAGGCGCGGGCUCAACCCGCGGACGGCACAUGAUACUGCGUGACUAGAGUAAGGGAGGGGGAACCGGAAUUCUCGGUGUAGCAGUGAAAUGCGUAGAUAUCGAGAGGAACACUCGUGGCGAAGGCGGGUUCCUGGACAUUAACUGACGCUGAGGCACGAAGGCCAGGGGAGCGAAAGGGAUUAGAUACCCGAGUAGUC
RNAcentral lists this ribosomal RNA (446 nucleotides) under uncultured bacterium. RNAcentral's name for it is "partial 16S ribosomal RNA". It matches the Rfam family "Bacterial small subunit ribosomal RNA", at positions 338 to 795 of the family's 1533-position model. The record is from RNAcentral.